CGGCUGUAGCUAAAUGAAUUUAGAAGUUUUACUGGCCGGUUGUCGUUAAUUUUAGUCGAUAAAUCUGCUUACCGAACUUCAUACAUCU
This is a non-coding RNA of Helianthus annuus (common sunflower), 88 nucleotides long. NCBI's taxonomy places the organism in Eukaryota, Viridiplantae, Streptophyta, Magnoliopsida, Asterales, Asteraceae. The record is from Rfam.